Long non-coding RNA from Cyprinus carpio carpio, 1246 nucleotides. Lineage: Eukaryota; Metazoa; Chordata; Actinopteri; Cypriniformes; Cyprinidae. The record is from Ensembl.
ACAUAUUACAAGAUAGUUAAAUGUUAAAAAUGAUAGAUUUUUCCUUCUUUGUUUGAUUGGUAUUGGUUGGUAGUAUAAACACAUAGAAUUCACACACUUAAAAAUAAUGACAUGGUAUUUUCAUGAUGUAAUUGAUAAUUGAUAUUUUAAUCAGAUUUCUUAGCUUAAAUUAAUUGUCAUUAACCUCAAUGUGACAGAAGUUAAGCAUAUUUCUGCAUGAGUGCCAAUUUAAAUGAUGGAGGCUAUUAAGUGGUGGAGUUCUAAUCACACUAAUACCUCCUUUCCACAAUAUGAAUCAGCUAAGCUCUCUCUGAAGUCAAAGACCAAAGCGCCUCCAAUCAAAUUUUAAUGAGGAACACGCGGGCAGACUGAGACUUGCUGGAGAAUGGGCAACAGUUCAAAGAAACACUCAGAUAACAUCAUAUUUCGUCAUGAGGACAUUUCAAGCUACAAGCUUUCUGAAAUGUGUCACUUUUUCCUGGAGGCAUAGACUAAUAAAGGUUUUUGCAGCUGAUGAGCAUAAUAAGACACUGGGAUCAGUUGACAACACCUGAAAAAUUUAAAAUGUCAAGUUAAUUAGAAUGAGCAGAUUUGUGAUGCAUCUAGCCCUUACAAAAAAGAAGUCAAGUUAAAUUUAUUAAGUAAACUUAUUUCAAGAUAUACGUUUUAUAGUAAGCAUACCAACAUCAGUGUACUUAGUAGAUGUGUGCCAGAUGGGCCAGAUUCACUAAAUAGCCAAAUUAGCAUAGGGUAGCAAACCAGUAGAGCCGUUCUUUGACUGUUAAAUAAGCGGUGCGUUUUUGGGUGUUAAAUAAUGGUACAGAUGCCAGUAAAUCGACCUUCCAUAAACUUUGCAUCUAAAAGGGAAACUCCUAAAAAUGCAUAUGCAAUAAAUUCAGCUGCAAAAAUUACUGUGUCCACACUUAUUUUAGUAAAAACCUGUCAGUAAAUGCCAAAAAAAAAAAAAGAAAAAAAAAAAAAAACCUUUGCACUGGUGCAAACUUAGUAAAUCUGGCCUUACAAUGUAUAGCAAUACGUGAAAAAAGUAUUUAAAUUAAAAAUGCAUUUAAUAGGCUAUUCAAUCAAAAGAGUAAACACAACUACAAGUAAAGUAUGCUUGUGGGAUACUGGUAAAUAUGUGUACACAAUAACUGCAUUGUACAAAAUUAUUAAUUUAAAUGUAAACACAUAGUAGUUAAUGCCACGUAAUAUAAAGUGGGACCAAAGACCCUAACAAAAACAAGAA